Molecule: non-coding RNA, 108 nt
Organism: Acanthosepion pharaonis
Lineage: Eukaryota; Metazoa; Mollusca; Cephalopoda; Sepiida; Sepiidae
Source: the annotation of a GenBank genome assembly
UACAGCCACAUCAUGUUGAAAUGCCGCUUCCUGUAUGAUCAGCAAAGUUAAGCAAUACUGAGCCUGGUCAGUACCUAGAGGGGUGACCGCUUGGGAAUACCAAGUGCU